RNAcentral lists this ribosomal RNA (100 nucleotides) under Pogona vitticeps (central bearded dragon). The record is from RNAcentral. Lineage: Eukaryota; Metazoa; Chordata; Lepidosauria; Squamata; Agamidae.
UCACUACCCUGAACACACCUGGUCUCAUUUGAUUUUGGAAGCAAAGCUGAGUGGGCCUGGUUAGUAUCUGGAUGGAUGAAUGUCACGGAAAACCAGGGAU